CCUAACCCAUUUGGGAGGGGGAUGCCGAAGGCAGGGUUGGUGACUGGGGUGAAGUCGUAACAAGGUAGCCGUACCGGAAGGUGUGGCUGGAUCACCUCCUUUUUAGGGAGACCUACUUGCCGGAUUUGACCCAACCCAAAUUCUUAGGUCACAGGCAAGUUAUCCCAGGUCGGUCGAGGUAAAAAAGAAAGCUUUCAAACUUAGGUUUGGUUCGGAAUACGGG
Molecule: unclassified non-coding RNA, 223 nt
Filed under: uncultured cyanobacterium
Lineage: Bacteria; Bacillati; Cyanobacteriota
Description: partial contains 16S ribosomal RNA and 16S-23S ribosomal RNA intergenic spacer
Rfam family: Bacterial small subunit ribosomal RNA (bases 1-102)
Source: RNAcentral